AUUGAACGCUAGCGGCAUGCCUUACACAUGCAAGUCGAGCGGCUGAGGGGAGCUUGCUCUUGGGUUCAGCGGCGGACGGGUGAGUAAUGUAUAGGAACGUGCCUGGUAGUGGGGGAUAACGUCCGGAAACCGGAGCUAAUACCGCAUACGUCCUACGGGAGAAAGUGGGGGAUCUUCAGACCUCACGCUAUCAGAUGAGCCUAGGUCGGAUUAGCUAGUUGGUGGGGUAAAGGCCUACCAAGGCGACGAUCCGUAACUGGUCUGAGAGGAUGAUCAGCCACACUGGAACUGAGACACGGUCCAGACUCCUACGGGAGGCAGCAGUGGGGAAUUUUGGACAAUGGGCGAAAGCCUGAUCCAGCCAUGCCGCGUGUGUGAAGAAGGUCUUCGGAUUGUAAAGCACUUUAAGUUGGGAGGAAGGGCAGUAAGUUAAUACCUUGCUGUUUUGACGUUACCAGCAGAAUAAGCACCGGCUAACUUCGUG
Molecule: ribosomal RNA, 484 nt
Filed under: uncultured bacterium
Lineage: Bacteria
Description: partial 16S ribosomal RNA
Rfam family: Bacterial small subunit ribosomal RNA
Source: RNAcentral